RNAcentral lists this ribosomal RNA (146 nucleotides) under Rhizobium ruizarguesonis. RNAcentral's name for it is "partial 23S ribosomal RNA". It matches the Rfam family "Bacterial large subunit ribosomal RNA", at positions 2776 to 2925 of the family's 2925-position model. The record is from RNAcentral. Lineage: Bacteria; Pseudomonadati; Pseudomonadota; Alphaproteobacteria; Hyphomicrobiales; Rhizobiaceae.
GGCAUCUAAGCGGGAAACCCACCUGAAAACGAGUAUUCCCUAUCAGAGCCGUGGAAGACGACCACGUUGAUAGGCCGGGUGUGGAAGUGCGGCAACGCAUGAAGCUUACCGGUACUAAUAGCUCGAUUGGCUUGAUCGUUCUCAUU